Molecule: ribosomal RNA, 494 nt
Filed under: uncultured bacterium
Lineage: Bacteria
Description: partial 16S ribosomal RNA
Rfam family: Bacterial small subunit ribosomal RNA
Source: RNAcentral
GACGAACGCUGGCGGCGCGCUUAACACAUGCAAGUCGAACGGAAAGGCCUGCUUUCCCUUGUGGAUUGCGGGUACUCGAGUGGCGAACGGGUGAGUAACACGUGAGUGAUCUGCCCCCAACUUGGGUAUAAGCCUGGGAAACUGGGUCUAAUUCCCGAUAGGACUGCAGGGUGGUGCCUGUGGUGGAAAACGAUUUUCUAGUGGUUGGGGAUGAGCUCGCGGCCUAUCAGCUUGUUGGUGGGGUAAUGGCCUACCAAGGCGGCGACGGGUAGCCGGCCUGAGAGGGUGGACGGCCACAUUGGGACUGAGAUACGGCCCAGACGCCUACGGGAGGCAGCAGUGGGGAAUAUUACACAAUGGGCGGAAGCCUGAUGCAGCGACGCCGCGUGGGGGAUGACGGCCUUCGGGUUGUAAACUCCUUUCGACCGCGAGGAAGCCACCUGGUUGGAAGGGUGGUGACGGUAGUGGUAGAAGAAGCACCGGCUAACUACGUG